CAGCCCUUGACAUGGCAGGACGGUUUCCGGAGACGGAUUCCUUCUCGCAAGAGACUUGCACACAGGUGCUGCAUGGCUGUCGUCAGCUCGUGUCGUGAGAUGUUGGGUUAAGUCCCGCAACGAGCGCAACCCUCGCCCUUAGUUGCCAUCAUUCAGUUGGGCACUCUAAGGGGACUGCCGGUGAUAAGCCGCGAGGAAGGUGGGGAUGACGUCAAGUCCUCAUGGCCCUUACGGGCUGGGCUACACACGUGCUACAAUGGCGGUGACAGUGGGAUGCAAUGGAGCAAUCCUGCGCAAAUCUCAAAAAGCCGUCUCAGUUCGGAUUGUGCUCUGCAACUCGAGCACAUGAAGUUGGAAUCGCUAGUAAUCGCAGAUCAGCACGCUGCGGUGAAUACGUUCCCCGGGCCUUGUACACACCGCCCGUCACACCAUGGGAGUUGGGUUUACCUUAAGACGGUGCGCUAACCGCAAGGGGGCAGCCGGCCACGGUAGGCUCAGCGACUGGGGUG
This 509-nucleotide ribosomal RNA is filed under the name uncultured bacterium. RNAcentral's name for it is "bacterial SSU rRNA". It matches the Rfam family "Bacterial small subunit ribosomal RNA", at positions 975 to 1482 of the family's 1533-position model. The record is from RNAcentral.